UGCUUCUGCAAGGAGCUUGGCAACUGAUGAGACGAAGGUCCAAGAGGAUGGUCGCAAUCAGUUUGAGAGAGCUAAAGCUCACAAAUCAACAAUGGAGGCUGCAAUUUCAGAGGUGGGAGGCUUGCUGUUAUUAUUUGGCUUCCUUUACCUGAUGAUACUUCACAAAUACAUGUAAAUGGUUGUACCAAACCUGUUGUCCUAGUUUUGUCUCACUGCACUACUGAUUGUAACUGGCCCUUUCGCCCCUUCUAUAUUACAGUUCAAUCGCAAGCCAGCAAAGGGGGUCGAGUAUUUAUUGUCAAAUAAGUUGAUUGAAAAUAAGGCAUCAUCUGUAGCUCAGUUUCUCAAGAGCAAUGCCAGCUUGGAUAAGGUGAUUUCAUGGAAUUUAAUGUUCUUUGUGCUGUUGCAGUUAUUGGUCAGAGCGAUGUGGCUACCCACUAACUUUGAUGAGCUGUAACUUUGCAGGUAAUGAUUGGUGAAUAUUUGGGACAGCAUGAGGAAUUUCCCCUUGCUGUGAUGCAUGCUUAUGUCGAUUCCAUGAAGUUUUCGGGGUUGAAGUUUGAUGCCGCAAUUCGCGAGUUCCUCAAAGGAUUUCGCCUUCCUGGGGAGGCACAAAAGAUUGAUCGCAUAAUGGAAAAAUUUGCUGAGCGGUAUGCAUUUGUAGAAUCUUAAUACAGUUUUUCUUUGACAUUUUCUAUUGUGGUCCUCAAAUAAUUAUGUGAUGACUUGCAGGUACUGUGCUGAUAACCCCGGGCUCUUUAAAAAUGCAGAUACUGCUUAUAUUCUUGCUUAUGCUGUUAUAAUGUUAAAUACUGAUGCACAUAAUCCAAUGGUAUGGCCUAAGAUGUCAAAAUCAGAUUUCGUACGUUUGAACACUGCAAGUGAUGAAGAGGAAUGUGCUCCUAAGGAGCUCUUGGAGGAACUUUAUGAUUCAAUUAUCAAUGAAGAGAUAAAGAUGAAAGAUGAUCUUCAUGCGGCAAAAACUAGUAAAGUAAGACCUGAAAUAGAAGAAAAGGGUCGCCUCGUCAAUAUCCUCAAUUUAGCUCUCCCAAGACUGAAAUCAGCAAGUGAUACAAAGGCAGAAAGUGAAAAAAUUAUUAAGCAGACCCAAGCAGUUUUCAAAAACCAGGGACAGAAGAGGGGUGUUUUUCAUGUUGCUCAGCAGGUUGAGCUUGUUAGACCAAUGGUCGAGGCUGUAGGAUGGCCUUUGCUUGCAACAUUUUCUGUAACUAUGGAGGAAGGUGACAACAAGCCUAGGGUUGUAUUGUGCAUGGAAGGGUUUAAGGCUGGUAUUCAUCUUACUCGUGUUCUUGGGAUGGAGACCAUGCGCUAUGCUUUCUUGACAUCCUUAGUGAGGUAAGAAAAUUAACCCUUUCUAUUUAUGAAUAUGCAUUGUUUAUUUCUUUAUUUUUCCCAUUUAAUUAUAUGGAUGUAAUGGUGUCUUUUCCUUCAUUAACCUUUUGCAGGUUUACAUUUCUGCAUGCUCCCAAGGAAAUGCGUAGUAAAAAUGUUGAGGCAUUGCGAACUCUCCUUGCCUUAGCUGACACGGAUAUGGAUGCUUUGCAAGAUGCUUGGAAUGCUGUUUUAGAAUGUGUCUCAAGACUCGAGUAUAUCACUUCAGUUCCUUCAAUGGCCGCAACUGUUAUGCAGGGAUCAAAUCAAAUAUCAAGGGAUUCUGUAGUUCAGUCACUGAAAGAGUUGUCGGGGAAGCCUGCUGAACAAGUGUUUGUAAACAGUGUAAAACUACCAAGUGAUUCUAUUGUUGAAUUCUUCGAUGGUCUAUGUACUAUUUCUGCUGAAGAACUUAAACAGACACCUCCUCGUGUCUUCAGCUUGCAAAAGCUUGUUGAAAUAAGCUACUACAAUAUGGCACGGAUACGUUUGGUAUGCUUUUGUCUAUCAUUGUUUGCAUUAUGCUUCCUAUUGUUCUCUUAGCAAUUCUUGUGUUAUUUCAUGAGACUUAAUUUUCAGUGACAUAGUGAAGAGAUAAAUAAGUAGGUCGAAAUUGCUUACUUUCUUACUAUUAUAUGCCAUUGUAGAGGAUGCUUCAUUGAAUCAGGCAAUAUCUUCAUUCUGUGAGAAAGAUUUUUUAUUUUUUAUUCAAAGAAGAACUAACAUAAUUUUAUAUUAUGUUAGAAAGGCCUGCUUAUUUUUCAUUGAGAGCAUUAUGGGGGCAGGGGAGAGUUGAGACUGGUUUAUUCAGAAUUGUUUUUGUUUAGCCAUUGGCCAUUGGCCAUUCAGUUUAUGCCCAUGUAAACUAUAGAAUGACCCUAAUUUCUAAAUAUAUGAAGUUGUGGAUAUGCACCUAAUUGGUGAGCGUCCUUGAAUUUUACUCAACUGAGAGCCUGAACACCUAAUUUUUCAAGUUCUUCUGGAUGAAGGGAUGCACCCCUACCUGAUUUUUUUAAGAAAUAUGCUGUUUUACUGAAAUAUACAAUCGAACUGGGUACAAUCUACUGGAAUCUCUAGGGCGUGCUGAAAUCACAAUUUACUAUAUAAUUGGAGGUGAUUACCGGGUACCACUGCAAACAGGUUCAGUAGGGUUUAUUUACCAUUCUGUUUAGGGUCGCCGUGUUCAGCCAAUUGUCAGAUGGCCAUCUUUCCCUUCAAGAAAAAAUAGGAAAAUAAAAAGAAAAUCACUGUGCUGAGGAAUUUUAUCAAUAACUUGAUGGAGAUGGGCCUGCGAUUGUGUGCGGAGUGAGCAGAUACAGCAGCAUAUGCAGCCACCUCAGGUACAGUCUUGGAGGGUUGGUUUCUGGCUCGGCAGGAGAUAGGGGGCCACACCUGGGUUCAGCCCUUUCUGUGGUAUACCACAUGUGCACUGGGAAUGAUGUGCAGCAGUGGAGCGAGCACAUGUGAAUGGUCUGCGUAGGGGGGAUGGCGUCCCAAUUAAGUGGGGGAGAAAAAGUAAACUUCAUAGAAAAUGCGUGGGGAAAGUUUGGGCCUUUCUCAAAUAUAUGUUUGGCAAGUGGUAGAAAACGCCAUAGCUUAUGUGAAGCAGCACAAAGUUGUGGAUGAGCAACUUCACCUUGCUGCUACAAUGUGUGCAGCACAAGUGUUGAAGGAACAACUUCAACGUGCUGCGCUAGAUAUUGCUCUAGAGGCGAAUAUAGGCCGAUAGGGCAGCAGGAGUUCAAUCCAAAACUCAUAGAACGCUAGAUCUAGUCCAAGAUCUUAGAUAAGAACACCAAGUUCUAUUAUAGGCAGUGGGGGUACAUAGUCUCCCUACAAACUAGAGGUGAGGACCUCUAUUUAUAGGGCUUUGGGAAGCCUACACAUACUUCUACUUAUGGCUA
Molecule: long non-coding RNA, 3296 nt
Filed under: Triticum aestivum (bread wheat)
Lineage: Eukaryota; Viridiplantae; Streptophyta; Magnoliopsida; Poales; Poaceae
Description: long non-coding RNA (TAES_LNC022238)
Source: RNAcentral